RNAcentral lists this ribosomal RNA (1252 nucleotides) under Arthrobacter sp. LM27(2011). RNAcentral describes it as "bacterial SSU rRNA". It matches the Rfam family "Bacterial small subunit ribosomal RNA", at positions 124 to 1388 of the family's 1533-position model. Lineage: Bacteria; Bacillati; Actinomycetota; Actinomycetes; Micrococcales; Micrococcaceae. The record is from RNAcentral.
ACCUGCCCUUGACUCUGGGAUAAGCCUGGGAAACUGGGUCUAAUACCGGAUAUGACCUUCCAUCGCAUGGUGGUUGGUGGAAAGCUUUUGUGGUUUUGGAUGGACUCGCGGCCUAUCAGCUUGUUGGUGGGGUAAUGGCCUACCAAGGCGACGACGGGUAGCCGGCCUGAGAGGGUGACCGGCCACACUGGGACUGAGACACGGCCCAGACUCCUACGGGAGGCAGCAGUGGGGAAUAUUGCACAAUGGGCGGAAGCCUGAUGCAGCGACGCCGCGUGAGGGAUGACGGCCUUCGGGUUGUAAACCUCUUUCAGUAGGGAAGAAGCGAAAGUGACGGUACCUGCAGAAGAAGCGCCGGCUAACUACGUGCCAGCAGCCGCGGUAAUACGUAGGGCGCAAGCGUUAUCCGGAAUUAUUGGGCGUAAAGAGCUCGUAGGCGGUUUGUCGCGUCUGCCGUGAAAGUCCGGGGCUCAACUCCGGAUCUGCGGUGGGUACGGGCAGACUAGAGUGAUGUAGGGGAGACUGGAAUUCCUGGUGUAGCGGUGAAAUGCGCAGAUAUCAGGAGGAACACCGAUGGCGAAGGCAGGUCUCUGGGCAUUAACUGACGCUGAGGAGCGAAAGCAUGGGGAGCGAACAGGAUUAGAUACCCUGGUAGUCCAUGCCGUAAACGUUGGGCACUAGGUGUGGGGGACAUUCCACGUUUUCCGCGCCGUAGCUAACGCAUUAAGUGCCCCGCCUGGGGAGUACGGCCGCAAGGCUAAAACUCAAAGGAAUUGACGGGGGCCCGCACAAGCGGCGGAGCAUGCGGAUUAAUUCGAUGCAACGCGAAGAACCUUACCAAGGCUUGACAUGAACCGGUAAUACCUGGAAACAGGUGCCCCGCUUGCGGUCGGUUUACAGGUGGUGCAUGGUUGUCGUCAGCUCGUGUCGUGAGAUGUUGGGUUAAGUCCCGCAACGAGCGCAACCCUCGUUCUAUGUUGCCAGCACGUGAUGGUGGGGACUCAUAGGAGACUGCCGGGGUCAACUCGGAGGAAGGUGGGGACGACGUCAAAUCAUCAUGCCCCUUAUGUCUUGGGCUUCACGCAUGCUACAAUGGCCGGUACAAAGGGUUGCGAUACUGUGAGGUGGAGCUAAUCCCAAAAAGCCGGUCUCAGUUCGGAUUGGGGUCUGCAACUCGACCCCAUGAAGUCGGAGUCGCUAGUAAUCGCAGAUCAGCAACGCUGCGGUGAAUACGUUCCCGGGCCUUGUACAC